Molecule: ribosomal RNA, 200 nt
Filed under: uncultured bacterium
Lineage: Bacteria
Description: partial 16S ribosomal RNA
Rfam family: Bacterial small subunit ribosomal RNA
Source: RNAcentral
AACGAACGCUGGCGGCAGGCUUAACACAUGCAAGUCGAACGGUCUCUUCGGAGGCAGUGGCAGACGGGUGAGUAACGCGUGGGAAUCUACCUAGUUCUACGGAACAACAGAGGGAAACUUCUGCUAAUACCGUAUACGCCCUAUGGGGGAAAGAUUUAUCGGAAUUAGAUGAGCCCGCGUAAGAUUAGCUAGUUGGUGGG